This 396-nucleotide ribosomal RNA is filed under the name uncultured bacterium. RNAcentral's name for it is "bacterial SSU rRNA". It matches the Rfam family "Bacterial small subunit ribosomal RNA", at positions 29 to 416 of the family's 1533-position model. The record is from RNAcentral.
AACGAACGCUGGCGGCGGGCCUCAUACAUGCAAGUCGAGCGCGAAAGUCCGCAAGGAUGAGUAAAGCGGCGCACGGGUGAGUAACACGUGGGUAAUCUACCUUUUUGGAUUGGAAUAACCUGUCGAAAGACGGGCUAAUGCCGAGUAAGCCUUCUUGAACGUGAAGUUCGAGACGGGAAAGAUGGCGCAAGCUAUCGCCGAAAGAUGAGCCUGCGUCCCAUUAGUUAGUUGGUGGGGUAAUGGCUUACCAAGACAAUGAUGGGUACCUGGUUUGAGAGAAUGAUCAGGCACACUGGAACUGAAACACGGUCCAGACUCCUACGGGAGGCAGCAGUAGGGAAUAUUGCGCAAUGGACGAAAGUCUGACGCAGCCACGCCGCGUGAGUGAGGAAGGCC